GAUGAACGCUGGCGGCGUGCUUAACACAUGCAAGUCGAACGAUGAAGCCCAGCUUGCUGGGUGGAUUAGUGGCGAACGGGUGAGUAACACGUGAGUAACCUGCCCUUGACUCUGGGAUAAGCCUGGGAAACUGGGUCUAAUACUGGAUAUGACUUCUCAUCGCAUGGUGGGGGGUGGAAAGAUUUAUUGGUCUUGGAUGGACUCGCGGCCUAUCAGCUUGUUGGUGAGGUAAUGGCUCACCAAGGCGACGACGGGUAGCCGGCCUGAGAGGGUGACCGGCCACACGGGGACUGAGACACGGCCCAGACUCCUACGGGAGGCAGCAGUGGGGAAUAUUGCACAAUGGGCGCAAGCCUGAUGCAGCGACGCCGCGUGAGGGAUGACGGCCUUCGGGUUGUAAACCUCUUUCAGUAGGGAAGAAGCGAGAGUGACGGUACCUGCAGAAGAAGCGCCGGCUAACUACGUG
This 466-nucleotide ribosomal RNA is filed under the name uncultured bacterium. Its description in RNAcentral is "partial 16S ribosomal RNA". It matches the Rfam family "Bacterial small subunit ribosomal RNA", at positions 28 to 507 of the family's 1533-position model. The record is from RNAcentral.